AUGCUGACUAUAUGCAAAAGGCCUUAUGGUGCUUGAAUCAGGAAGAAAAAAGAGCUAGUCAGUACCUGUAUCCUGACACUGGAGUUACGUUGCUACAGGUUGUCAAAUACAGAUUGCUGACAGAACCUGGUCUCAAAUUGGCUGAAAAGAAGCAAGCUGAAAAAAGUGGCUUUGCGACUGAGUUUCAGGACGUUCUGUCGAAAUGUGCCGACUUGAAUCUGGAAGGGA
This is a long non-coding RNA of Pistacia vera, 228 nucleotides long. RefSeq lists it as uncharacterized. The record is from RefSeq and is a predicted model, not a curated record. The transcript has 4 exons. Lineage: Eukaryota; Viridiplantae; Streptophyta; Magnoliopsida; Sapindales; Anacardiaceae.